Molecule: ribosomal RNA, 301 nt
Filed under: uncultured bacterium
Lineage: Bacteria
Description: partial 16S ribosomal RNA
Rfam family: Bacterial small subunit ribosomal RNA
Source: RNAcentral
CAGUCGCCGCGGGAAUACGGAGGGGGCUAGCGUUGUUCGGAAUUACUGGCGUAAAGCGCACGUAGGCGGCUUUGUAAGUAAGAGGUGAAAGCCCGGAGCUCAACUCCGGAACUGCCUUUUAGACUGCAUCGCUUGAAUCCAGGAGAGGUGAGUGGAAUUCCGAGUGUAGAGGUGAAAUUCGUAGAUAUUCGGAAGAACACCAGUGGCGAAGGCGGCUCACCGGACUGGUAUUGACGCUGAGGUGCGAAAGCGUGGGGAGCAAACAGGAUUAGAUACCCCCGUAGUCCCUGUCUCUUAUACA